UACAGAGGUGGCAAGCGUUGUUCGGAAUUACUGGGCGUAAAGGGCGCGUAGGCGGUUCGUUAAGUCCUGUGUGAAAUCCCCCGGCUCAACUGGGGAACUGCACAGGAAACUAGCGGGCUUGAGUUCGGGAGAGGGAAGCGGAAUUCCGGGUGUAGCGGUGAAAUUCGUAGAUAUCGGGAGGAACACCAGUGGCGAAGGCGGCGACCUGGGCCAAUACUGACGCUGAGGUGCGAAAGCGUGGGGAGCAAACAGG
RNAcentral lists this ribosomal RNA (253 nucleotides) under uncultured bacterium. RNAcentral's name for it is "partial 16S ribosomal RNA". It matches the Rfam family "Bacterial small subunit ribosomal RNA", at positions 524 to 776 of the family's 1533-position model. The record is from RNAcentral.